GAUGAACGCUGGCGGCGUGCCUAAUACAUGCAAGUCGAGCGAACAGACGAGGAGCUUGCUCCUCUGACGUUAGCGGCGGACGGGUGAGUAACACGUGGAUAACCUACCUAUAAGACUGGGAUAACUUCGGGAAACCGGAGCUAAUACCGGAUAAUAUAUUGAACCGCAUGGUUCAAUAGUGAAAGACGGUUUUGCUGUCACUUAUAGAUGGAUCCGCGCCGCAUUAGCUAGUUGGUAAGGAAACGGCUUACCAAGGCAACGAUGCGUAGCCGACCUGAGAGGGUGAUCGGCCACACGGGAACGGAGACACGGUCCAGACUCCUACGGGAGGCACCAGUAGGGAAUCUUCCGCAAUGGGCGAAAGCCUGACGGAGCAACGCCGCGUGAGUGAUGAAGGUCUUCGGAUCGUAAAACUCUGUUAUUAGGGAAGAACAAAUGUGUAAGUAACUAUGCACGUCUUGACGGUACCUAAUCAGAAAGCCACGGCUAACUACGUG
This 497-nucleotide ribosomal RNA is filed under the name uncultured bacterium. Its description in RNAcentral is "partial 16S ribosomal RNA". It matches the Rfam family "Bacterial small subunit ribosomal RNA", at positions 28 to 507 of the family's 1533-position model. The record is from RNAcentral.